This 450-nucleotide ribosomal RNA is filed under the name uncultured marine bacterium. RNAcentral describes it as "bacterial SSU rRNA". It matches the Rfam family "Bacterial small subunit ribosomal RNA", at positions 8 to 451 of the family's 1533-position model. The record is from RNAcentral.
AGAGUUUGAUCAUGGCUCAGAUUGAACGGCUGGCGGCAGGCUUAACACAUGCAAGUCGAACGGUAACAGAACUAGCUUGCUAGUUGCUGACGAGUGGCGGACGGGUGAGUAACGCGUAGGAAUCUACCGAAUAGUGGGGGACAACAGUUGGAAACGGCUGCUAAUACCGCAUACGCCCUACCGGGGGAAAGGAGGGGAUCUUCGGACCUUUCGCUAUUUGAUGAGCCUGCGUGAGAUUAGUUAGUUGGUGGGGUAAUGGCUCACCCAAGGCGACGAUCUCUAGCUGGUCUGAGAGGAUGAUCAGCCACACUGGGAGUGAGACACGGCCCAGACUCCUACGGGAGGCAGCAGUGGGGAAUAUUGCACAAUGGGGGAAAGCGCUGAUGCAGCCAUGCCGCGUGUGUGAAGAAGGCCUUCGGGUUGUAAAGCACUUUCAGAUUGUGAGGAAAG